Molecule: ribosomal RNA, 235 nt
Filed under: uncultured bacterium
Lineage: Bacteria
Description: partial 16S ribosomal RNA
Rfam family: Bacterial small subunit ribosomal RNA
Source: RNAcentral
UACGGAGGGUGCAAGCGUUAUCCGGAUUCACUGGGUUUAAAGGGUGCGUAGGUGGGCAGGUAAGUCAGUGGUGAAAUCUCCGGGCUUAACUCGGAAACUGCCAUUGAUACUAUCUUUCUUGAAUACCGUGGAGGUCAGCGGAAUAUGUCAUGUAGCGGUGAAAUGCUUAGAUAUGACAUAGAACACCAAUUGCGAAGGCAGCUGGCUACACGAAUAUUGACACUGAUGCACGAAA